Molecule: ribosomal RNA, 773 nt
Filed under: uncultured bacterium
Lineage: Bacteria
Description: bacterial SSU rRNA
Rfam family: Bacterial small subunit ribosomal RNA
Source: RNAcentral
ACGGGUGAGUAACGCGUGGGCAACCUGCCCUGUACAGAGGGACAACAACGGGAAACCGUUGCUAAUACCUCAUAAAACCCUAAAGGGGCAUCCCUUAUGGGUCAAAGAAUUUCGGUACAGGAUGGGCCCGCGUCUGAUUAGCUAGUUGGUGAGGUAAUGGCUCACCAAGGCGACGAUCAGUAGCCGACCUGAGAGGGUGAUCGGCCACACUGGAACUGAGACACGGUCCAGACUCCUACGGGAGGCAGCAGUGGGGAAUAUUGCACAAUGGGGGAAACCCUGAUGCAGCAACGCCGCGUGAGCGAUGAAGGCCUUCGGGUCGUAAAGCUCUGUCCUAAGGGAAGAAAUUUGACGGUACCUUAGGAGGAAGCCCCGGCUAACUACGUGCCAGCAGCCGCGGUAAUACGUAGGGGGCAAGCGUUAUCCGGAAUCACUGGGCGUAAAGGGUGCGUAGGCGGUCUUACAAGUCAGGGGUGAAAGGCUACGGCUCAACCGUAGUAAGCCUUUGAAACUGUAGGACUUGAGUGCAGGAGAGGAAAGUGGAAUUCCUAGUGUAGCGGUGAAAUGCGUAGAUAUUAGGAGGAACACCAGUGGCGAAGGCGACUUUCUGGACUGUAACUGACGCUGAGGCACGAAAAGUGUGGGGAGCAAACAGGAUUAGAUACCCUGGUAGUCCACACCGUAAACGAUGAGUGCUAGGUGUUGGGGGUCGAACCUCAGUGCCGCAGCUAACGCAUUAAGCACUCCGCCUGGGGAGUACGCUCGCAAGAGUG